This 445-nucleotide ribosomal RNA is filed under the name uncultured bacterium. RNAcentral's name for it is "partial 16S ribosomal RNA". It matches the Rfam family "Bacterial small subunit ribosomal RNA", at positions 29 to 507 of the family's 1533-position model. The record is from RNAcentral.
AACGAACGCUGGCGGCAGGCUUAACACAUGCAAGUCGAACGAACUGGCGCCUCCUGUCUCCGGUGCUCGUGGCGCACGGGUGUGUAACACGUGGGAAUAUCCUCUUUAGUACGUAAUAACCAAUUCAAACUUUUGCUACUACCGUAUACUCCCUUCGCGUGCUAGAUUUAUCGCUAAAGAAUUAUCCCGCGUCUGGUUAGGUAGUGGGUGGGGUAAUGGCUCACCAAGCCGACGAUCAGUACCUGGUCUGAGAAGAGGAUCAGCCACACUGGGAAUGAGGCACGGACCAGAAUGGUAGGGAGGGCAGCAGAGGAGAAUAUUGGACGAGGAGGGCAAAACUGACCCAGCCAUGCGGGGGAAGAGAAGAAGGGGGUCGGGUUGUAAAGCUGUUUCGAAGGGGACGAUGAUGACGGUACCCGUAUAAGAAGCCCCGGCAAACUUCGUG